UACGUAGGGGGCAAGCGUUAUCCGGAAUUACUGGGCGUAAAGGGUGAGUAGGCGGUUAUGUAAGUCAUAUGUGAAAGCCCGGGGCUUAACCUCGGGAUUGCAUAAGAAACUACAAGACUAGAGUAUGGGAGAGGUAAGCGGAAUUCCUAGUGUAGCGGUGAAAUGCGUAGAUAUUAGGAAGAACACCAGUGGCGAAGGCGGCUUACUGGACCAAGACUGACGCUGAGGCACGAAAGCGUGGGGAGCGAACAGG
This 253-nucleotide ribosomal RNA is filed under the name uncultured bacterium. RNAcentral's name for it is "partial 16S ribosomal RNA". It matches the Rfam family "Bacterial small subunit ribosomal RNA", at positions 524 to 776 of the family's 1533-position model. The record is from RNAcentral.